Mus musculus (house mouse) is the source of this 2804-nucleotide RNA transcript. It is a transcript of the gene named solute carrier family 35, member F5, with no coding region annotated. NCBI's taxonomy places the organism in Eukaryota, Metazoa, Chordata, Mammalia, Rodentia, Muridae. The transcript is spliced from 16 exons. The record is from RefSeq and is marked validated.
AGGAGGCGGGGCCUGCCGGUUGGCCAGCCGUGGGAUGGGCUUGUUUGGCCAGCAGUGGGCGUGGCCUGGCUGGCUGACCGGCCGGGGGCGGGGCCUGGGCCGCGGCCGCAAUCCGGGCCUCCAGGACUCUCGCUGCCAGCGCCGUCCGGUGGCCUGGGUCACUCCCCUCCGUCGGGGCCGAGUGCUGUGACAGCCGCGGCCUUGAGCCGAGGGGCAGCGCAGCUUCUUAAGUUGGGCUUGCUGUGGGGCACGAUGCUGGGGUCUGUGCGUGCGGUGUGAGGCGGCGGCUCUGGGCGGCGGGCCGAGCCGGGGCCGCUCAUGGUGCCGCCACGACUCCAUCGAGGGGCAGGAAGGCCAGGUGGGCUGAGUUCUUUACCUCCAUUUGGACUGGGCUCUGCCCGCUUUGCAGGCAUUGCAUUUGAGGAUCUCAGAGAAGCCCUUGCAACAAGACUGCAAAUGGUUUAUGUGUUUAUCAUGAACCGUGUGAAUUCCCAGAGCAGUGGUUUCAGUCAGCGCAGGCGAAUGGCCCUGGGGAUAGUGAUUCUCCUGCUGGUUGAUGUGAUAUGGGUGGCAUCCUCAGAACUCACCUCGUAUGUCUUCACGCAGUACAACAAGCCAUUCUUCAGCACCUUUGCGAAAACAUCCAUGUUUGUUCUGUACCUUUUGGGCUUCAUUAUUUGGAAGCCUUGGAGGCAACAGUGUACAAGAGGAUUUAGAGGGAAGCCUGCUGCUUUUUUUGCAGAUGCUGAAGGUUACUUUGCUGCGUGCACAACAGAUACAAGCAUGAGUAGUUCUUUGAGUGAACCUCUUUAUGUUCCUGUGAAGUUUCAUGAUCUCCCAAGUGAGAAGCUCGAGAGCACAAACAUUGGGACCGAAAAGACUCCCAAGAAGUCCCGUGUAAGGUUCAGCAAUAUCAUGGAGAUUCGCCAGCUCCCAUCGAGCCAUGCGUUAGAGGCCAAGCUCUCUCGGAUGUCUUAUCCCACUGUGAAAGACCAAGAAUCCAUACUGAAGACUGUAGGGAAAUUGACUGCAACCCAAGUAGCAAAAAUUAGCUUUUUUUUUUGCUUUGUGUGGUUUUUGGCAAAUUUGUCAUACCAAGAAGCACUUUCAGACACACAGGUUGCCAUAGUGAAUAUUUUGUCUUCAACUUCUGGACUUUUUACUUUAAUCCUUGCAGCUGUAUUUCCGAGUAACAGCGGAGACAGGUUUACCCUCUCUAAACUAUUAGCUGUAAUUUUAAGCAUUGGAGGUGUGGUGCUGGUGAACCUGUCUGGGUCUGAAAAGUCUGCUGGAAGAGACACAAUAGGUUCCAUUUGGUCCCUUGCUGGAGCUAUGUUCUAUGCUGUCUACAUUGUGAUGAUCAAGAGAAAGGUAGACAGAGAAGAUAAAUUGGAUAUUCCAAUGUUCUUUGGUUUUGUAGGUCUGUUUAAUCUGCUGCUCCUAUGGCCAGGGUUCUUCUUACUGCAUUAUACUGGCUUUGAGGACUUUGAGUUUCCCAACAAAGUGGUACUGUUGUGUAUCAUUAUCAACGGCCUCAUCGGAACAGUUCUGUCCGAGUUUCUGUGGUUAUGGGGCUGCUUUCUUACCUCGUCGUUGAUAGGCACACUUGCACUAAGCCUUACGAUACCUCUCUCCAUCAUAGCCGACAUGUGCAUGCAAAAGGCGCUAUCCCUGUAUUUUUUUCAUUUUUUAUUGUUACUCUCCUGUGCCAUUAUAAUAAUUGGGAUCCUGUGAUGGUAGGAGUCAGAAGAGUUUUUGCCUUUAUAUGCAGAAAACAUCGAAUUCAGAGAGUUCCAGAAGACAGUGAACAGUGCGAGAGCCUCAUUUCUAUGCACAGCGUUUCUCAAGAGGAUGGAGCUACUUAGCUGCUGUGGUCUGCAGUCCAGCUUAAUGGAACAUUGUACAGUGAAGAGACGACCUGGCAAGUUCUUUGUAGACGUGUUUCAGUGCCUCGUCUGAACAGGAGCCGUUUCACUUCUUUGAAACUCUACAUUUUCCACACGUCUGCUUCAUUUUCAAAAUGAAGGAUGUUUCCCGUAGGUUUUGUGCAGUCCAGUUGCCCUAAAGGACCAACCUGCCUUACGUAUCAGUUUAGUUCCUGAAAUCAGUGGAACUAUUCAAGGGACGGAACUCCUCUGGAGACUCUGUUUAAACAUACUUUUCAGUUCCCGAGAGACCACCUAAGUAAGAUGACAUUUCUGACAGGCGGGUGCCAGUCUGCACUGCCCGCAGUGAGUGCAGGUUCUGUUUUUGAGUUUGGUAGUUUGCAAAGUGAGUACACUGAAGAAACGUUAGUUAGUGGGGCAAUACAUUCAUGCAAGGUUGGUGGCGCCUUAGAGAUGGGCGAGUGUCUGAGAAGACCUGCUCGGAGCACACUGCACUCUUUGAUCCUCCCUGGUGUCUGGUGCCUUCUAUCUUAAAAAACAUGACAAGUCAUAACAGUUUUAAAGGGAAGACUUGUAAACUGGAAAAUCAUGUAUUUCUAAAGGCUGUGUACCUAUAAAUUAGUUGAGAAAGCUCUGUUUCAUUUAGAGUUUUAAAGGAAUAUUCUCUCUUCAAUUAAGGAAUUUUCAUAAUGGAAUGGUUUAAAUUGAAGUGAUAAAGAAUAUUAUUAGAAUAAAAUGUUUGUAUAUGUAUUUGUGUAUUAAAGAUGUAUUGAGUAAUUUUGUAUUUUUUACAUAUAAAUGUGCUAAAUUACUCUAAAACUGGGUGCUGCUUCCUUAAGUAAUCUUACUUUUCCUAAGUAAAUUUAAAUGCUUAAAAUAAAAAAAAAAAAAAGAAAGGCAAGGAAAAACUCUGCUUAA